Molecule: non-coding RNA, 893 nt
Organism: Pantherophis guttatus
Lineage: Eukaryota; Metazoa; Chordata; Lepidosauria; Squamata; Colubridae
Source: RefSeq, a predicted model, not a curated record
UAUAGGAUUAUAGACAUGUUUGCCUGCUUGUAAAGGAAGCAAGUAGAGGAAACAGAUUGUCCUUCUGGUCAGUAGUUGAGCACAGAGAACUAUAAGCCAAUCAGUGCUUAUUUGCGGGCCAAUAGCUCAGUUACUCAUGCUGGCCUCCCACUCAUUGCUUCCUCCUCCUCGCAAGUACAAGAAAACACAUUGCUAGCACACCCCCAUUUCUGACUGUCACGAAGGCAUAUGAGCAAUUCUGACUGUUUACAUCUUAUAUGGUCAUGCCACUCUGCUGCACUGCAGGAUUUCAGGACCUAGAAAGUGGUGUAAGCGAAAUCAACAUCUCCUCUCCUGCAGGAACUCAGAACGGAGCUUCAAAUCCAAGGAAGUUUGGUAUAGCCAUUUCUGACUUGGCAAUCAUUUUUUGAAAAACAGAAAGAUCCACAGAAAGAAGGGACAGAUGAAGAACUCACGCAGUUGCAGAGUGUGAGGCACAGAGUCUUUUGGAUCACUUGCCAAAUGUAAUCAUGCAUCUCUAAUUGGUUGGCCCCUUUGUCAAUUUCUAAAUUUCAUACUCCUGGUAGGAGAUUGUUCUGCAUUGUUUUUUAAAGGUUUGUAGGUUUGAUGUGCAGGGCCUCCAGCUGUGUGAUGACCUUUUGGGGAAGCAGGAAAGAUCAAGCUUCUUCAGAGGCUCUGUGAUGGUAACGUACCAUAUUACCUGCAAUUGACUAAAAGAAAACAGCUGUUGAACAAAGGCUUCCUAAAGAAGACACCUAAGAAACUGAACAUCCUAAGACUUCUCUGCUUUCCAAACAAACUAUGGGAUUUCCCCCUCUCAUCUUGACUAUUGACCUAUACUUUAAUCAGUAGAAUAUUGUGCCAGCAUUAAAUUUGUUAUUUCCCAUUGCUGA